UACGAAGGGUGCAAGCGUUAAUCGGAAUUACUGGGCGUAAAGCGCGCGUAGGCGGUUUGUUAAGUCUGUUGUGAAAUCCCCGGGCUCAACCUGGGAAUGGCAAUGGAUACUGGCGGACUGGAGUGUGGUAGAGGUUAGUGGAAUUCCCAGUGUAGCGGUGAGAUGCGUAGAUAUUGGGAAGAACACCAGUGGCGUAGGCGACUAACUGGGCCAUAACUGACGCUGAGGAACGAAAGCCAGGGGAGCGAAUGGG
This 253-nucleotide ribosomal RNA is filed under the name uncultured bacterium. RNAcentral describes it as "partial 16S ribosomal RNA". It matches the Rfam family "Bacterial small subunit ribosomal RNA", at positions 524 to 776 of the family's 1533-position model. The record is from RNAcentral.